This 161-nucleotide ribosomal RNA is filed under the name uncultured bacterium. Its description in RNAcentral is "partial 16S ribosomal RNA". It matches the Rfam family "Bacterial small subunit ribosomal RNA", at positions 358 to 511 of the family's 1533-position model. The record is from RNAcentral.
GGAAUCUUCCACAAUGGACGAAAGUCUGAUGGAGCAACGCCGCGUGAGUGAAGAAGGGUUUCGGCUCGUAAAACUCUGUUGUUAAAGAAGAACAUAUCUGAGAGUAACUGUUCAGGUAUUGACGGUAUUUAACCAGAAAGCCACGGCUAAAUACGUGCCCG